UCUCCGUAGGUGAACCUGCGGAGGGAUCAUUACAGAGUUCAUGCCCUCUCGGGUAGAUCUCUCACCCUGUGUUAUUAUACUUUGUUGCUUUGGCAGGCUGCCCGCGUGGGCUACCGUCUCCAGCUGGUAAGUGCCUGCCAGAGGACCCCAAACUCUGAAUAUUUUAUUGUCUGAGUACUAUAUAAUAGUUUAAAACUUUCAACAACGGAUCUCUUGGUUCUG
This 222-nucleotide unclassified non-coding RNA is filed under the name plant metagenome. Its description in RNAcentral is "partial contains small subunit ribosomal RNA, internal transcribed spacer 1, and 5.8S ribosomal RNA". The record is from RNAcentral.